Molecule: long non-coding RNA, 1831 nt
Organism: Chinchilla lanigera (long-tailed chinchilla)
Lineage: Eukaryota; Metazoa; Chordata; Mammalia; Rodentia; Chinchillidae
Exons: 3
Source: RefSeq, a predicted model, not a curated record
GUUGACACCUGAAAGGAAGGAGAAAGAAAUGAGAAGAGCUACCUGCACCCUUUACUUUUUAUCCUAAACUCACCCAUCAGAAUAAAAGAGAACACUGGAGAAAUUACUUUUUGAUCACAGCUGGAACUAGGACAUUGAAGACAGCAUGCUGGACCUGAAUGAGACUGAAGAUUCAGCUGUAUAUUUUCCUAGCACCCUCAAUCUCCAACGGCGACUCUCCAGACUCAGAGGGUUCUAUUUGAGACUCAGUUCCAAGGAGAGCCUCUCUGCGGGUGAUCUCCCUCCUCCCCACACCUGUCCCAAAGAGACCACAACCUCCUUCAAAGGUUUUACCUGCCUGUGGAGACGAUAGCUUUGUAGGAAGGAUGCAUUGUGGGUUAUGUAGCCAACCACGUCUCUCUUGUCAAGGCAACACAGGGAACAGAAAAUACAAGAAGAUUCAUCGACAGGGAAGUUCAAACUCAGGAUUGCCCAAACCAUGUUUGCAAAUCAAACACCAACCUGGUCCAGGGUCAUGAUGUGGACUCUCAUAAUGAAGACUGAAUAGCUUGUGAGAAUGUCUUUGGAGACAAGCAGCAGAUAGACAAGAGUCCAGGAAAAAGAUGGUAACUAACUGACUACCCAAUGGAUUGGCCAGAAAAACCCCUCGAGCCAUUUCUAGGAAGUCAGGAAGAUGAUUAAGAAGACAAAAAAGAGGACAGUGAAAGCCAGCACAAGGAAAUUCAGGAAAAACAGGACGUUCAGGAACUUGAUGAACAAAUUCAAAAAUAUGACAGACUUGGUGACUUAGUCCUCCCUGAAUCCCGAGGACAUGAAAAUGAGAACAGUGGAGAUCAGAAGGACAAGGAAGAAAUUCAGAUAAAUGAAGAAGAAAAUCAGCACCCUGAUGAACAAAUUCAGAAACAGAACGAAGACACUGACCUUGUUGGGUUCCCUCAAGCCACUCAGGAAGAUUUCCAGCGGGGCAGCAGCUCCCCUCCACACCCUGCUCAGGUCGGUCAUAAAGAACUUGAUAGAUGUCAAGAUCUACUCAGGUACAAGCCACUGGAAAAUAAAGACACUGUCCAAGUCCUAGAGAUGUCUCUGAUGCUUAAGGAACAUGAACUUGCUGAGGUGAGCACAUAGAUGCCUCCCAGGAGAGGAGGGGACAGGCCUGGUCGAGGUCUAGGUUGAACAACAUGGGGCAUUACCACCUUCUGGGAAGCAGGGGUGGACCCUGGGUGUCUGCCCUUCACCAGCAGGGGGAGAAGGAUGACAGCAAGGAAAGGAAUCAGGAGAUGUAGGGAAAAUGCCAAGGAGCAUGGAGGAAGAUGGAGGAACAAAGAAAAGAGCUAGUCAUCAUGCCAGAAAAAAAGGUUUUUGUUUUUUUAGGGUGUCUGUAUUUCAGUGUUAAUGAGUUUUGAAACUGGGCAUUUACAGUUGGACUACUUCUAGUAAAAAGAUUUGAGUUCCAUAAAUGAGUAAAUACUAUAAUAGCUGGGGCAUUACAUUCAUGGAACUUAUAAUCCUUUGCUUAGCAGAUGGAAAGUGAAAAGACCUACGGCCAAAAGGCAAGCAUGAAGGAGUCCUCCUCAGUCUCCUCAAUGGAGGUAGAGGAGGGAAAUGAGGAGGACACAUUUGACACACAAACCACAACUGCCUCAACUUGAGGGAGGCCUUCCACUGGCUAAGGAAGAGGGCUUUCUCUUAUCUUGAGAGGAAAGUGGUGGUCUGCAGGCCACCAGCAAAUCCUACGAAGAAAAGAAGUCUUAGAUGCAACAGAAUCCAACCACAAGAAAAAAGAAGGCAGAAAACAUAGAGUUGAAUCCCUUGAUUUUUAAGCAGUUUGAUA